UUGAACGCUGGCGGCGUGCUUAACACAUGCAAGUCGAACGAGAAAGGGACUUCGGUCCUGAGUAGAGUGGCGCACGGGUGAGUAACGCGUAGGUAAUCUACCUCUGCAUCUGGGAUAACACUUCGAAAGGGGUGCUAAUACCGGAUACACUCAUGCAUCGCGAGAUAUAUGAGGAAAGGAGACCUCUCCUUGGAAGUUUCUGUGUAGAGAUGAGCCUGCGUCCCAUUAGCUAGUUGGCAGGGUAAGAGCCUACCAAGGCGACGAUGGGUAGCGGGUCUGAGAGGAUGAUCCGCCACACUGGAACUGAAACACGGACCAGACUCCUACGGGAGGCAGCAGUGAGGAAUAUUGGACAAUGGGCGCAAGCCUGAUCCAGCGACGCCGCGUGAGUGAUGAAGGCCUUUGGGUCGUAAAGCUCUGUCAGCAGGGAAGAACGGCCGUGUGGUUAAUACCCAUGCGGAUUGACGGUACCUGCAGAGGAAGCACCGGCUAACUCCGUGCCAGCAGCCGCGGUAAUACGGAGGGUGCGAGCGUUAAUCGGAAUUACUGGGCGUAAAGGGCGCGUAGGCGGCUGAUCAAGUCAGGUGUGAAAGCCCACGGCUUAACCGUGUGAAGUGCAUCUGAAACUGGUCGGCUUGAGUAUCGGAGAGGAAAGUGGAAUUCCCGGUGUAGAGGUGAAAUUCGUAGAUAUCGGGAGGAAUACCGGUGGCGAAGGCGACUUUCUGGACGAAUACUGACGCUGAGGCGCGAAAGCGUGGGGAGCAAACAGGAUUAGAUACCCUGGUAGUCCACAGCUGUAAACGAUGUGCACUAGAUGUGGGGAAGUGUUGACCUUUCCUGUGUCGCAGCUAACGCAUUAAGUGCACCGCCUGGGGAGUACGGCCGCAAGGUUAAAACUCAAAU
This 903-nucleotide ribosomal RNA is filed under the name uncultured bacterium. Its description in RNAcentral is "bacterial SSU rRNA". It matches the Rfam family "Bacterial small subunit ribosomal RNA", at positions 29 to 906 of the family's 1533-position model. The record is from RNAcentral.